ACAAUACAACUGAAGCUUAUUACAGGUGUACUUUCGUUAACGGCGUAUGUAGUUUUAGCAUUUUGUUUCCCAGUGGAAAUGCUGUUGUCUUAACCUCUCCUGGUCCGGAAGAGGUAAGUCUAUUAAGUACAGUAUACUUCAACUUUUAUGUGUUUUGGGCCAUCGUCUAAAAGAAGAAAAUUUACAGAAUGGAAGAGGGACAAUCACUUGUAAACAGACAAACCUAAAACACAGUUGUCUUUUUCUUCAGUUCAUAUUUUAGAGACUGUCCCAGGGGUACCUGCACAUUAUUAUGCUAUAGAUUCAGUUCUACUGCUAGAGAUGAGGUUACCAAUGAAUAAUCUGUAGAAAUGUGGAUUUAACAGAUUUUCACCUGAUAACCAGCUAAAUAUAUUCCUUAUUAAUCUUAAUUAUGAGAAACUAACUUUUCCUUUAUCAUGAUUUUCUUAUUUCCUUCAGGAUUCUCCAAGUAAUGAGUGGUAUGUCAAAAUUUCCUAUGGACCAAGAUGGGCAACAUAUAUUGUUGGCAUAGCUGUAAUGACUGUGCUUAUGAUGUUGGCAUUCAACUUCUUCAACAAGUUCCGAUGUAUACGUGAAGAAAGAACGGGAGUUCAGUAUGGCGAGGUGGAGCCUGCAAGAGCUCCUCUGCUUUCAUAUAAAGACGAUGACCUCUCAAGUUGGGGCUCUUCUUAU
RNAcentral lists this unclassified non-coding RNA (693 nucleotides) under Hevea brasiliensis (rubber tree). Lineage: Eukaryota; Viridiplantae; Streptophyta; Magnoliopsida; Malpighiales; Euphorbiaceae. The record is from RNAcentral.